UUCACCUCCCUCUCCAUACUUACCAUGGCUACUCCACCUCACCCUUCGCAAGCCUCUGGAUCCUGGUUCUAAGUGUCUUUCACUUCUAGGAACUCAUUUAGUUCCUGCAGCAACCUUAUGAGGCAGUAUGGAGUCCCAGGAAGACUCUUAAGUUCUGCUACUGAUGGAUGAACUGGGUGCCUGUAGAGUGUGGAAGGCCUAGACAUGGGUUCUAAACUCCUUCCCAGCUGCCUGACCCCCAAAGUCUGUCCUCUGGCGGUGGGGAAAUAGAAUUACAAACAAAAUCUAUCCCAGCAAGCCUCUCUGCAGAGGUAGAAGAGGAAGAAAACACUUUCAUCAUUGAAGAGGCAUUAACUCAGAGUGAGAUGUGCAUCACAGGCAAUGAUCCGCUAAGAUGCUGCAAAGACAGAAAGAAAUCUCACGCUUAUCUAGCCAGUGGGUCCAACCCAUUGCUCACUGCACGCAUUCUCAAGAAGAGUAAUGCCUAGUCCUCAGAUCAGUGGACUUCUCAGCACCUUUGGCCACACCCAUUUAUUGGAGAUUCAACCUCAAUUUACCUGACCACCUGCGUUUGCUAAUUACCUUGUUACAAAGGAAAAUAAACUCUUACCUUCAUGACAGGAGGUAGAUUUACCACUCACAGCAGAUGUUAGGCCCCCACCAUCCCACAGAGACUGGCAGAUAGGGCCCUGGCUGCUCUGAUGAUGACGUUUCAAAGACGGGCUCCCAGGUCCUUCAGGAACACAGUCCUGGGUUGCAAAGCUGGCAAGAGGCUUAUUUAGCUGUCAAAAAGCAUUGCUUGCCCCUCAAAGGGGCAGAGGAAGAUUUACAACGACAAGUUUUCCAAAGAAAACGCUGAGAGGACACCACUUCCCUUGUUUUGUUUUGUUUUUAUUAUUAUUAUACUUUAAGUUUUAGGGUACAUGUGCACAAUGUGCAGGUUAGUUACAUGUGUAUACAUGUGCCAUGCUGGUGUGCUGCACCCAUUAACUCGUCAUUUAGCAUUAGGUAUAUCUCCUAAUGCUAUUCGUCCCCCCUCCCCCCACCCCACAGCAGUCCCCAGAGUGUGAGGUUCCCCUUCCUGUGUCCAUGUGUUCUCAUUGUUCAGUUCCCACCUAUGAGUGAGAAUAUGCGGUGUUUGGUUUUUUGUUCUUGCGAUAGUUUACUGAGAAUGAUGAUUUCCAAUUUCAUCCAUGUCCCUACAAAGGACAUGAACUCAUCAUUUUUUUAUGGCUGCAUAGUAUUCCAUGGUGUAUAUGUGCCACAUUUUCUUAAUCCAGUCUAUCAUUGUUGGACAUUUGGGUUGGUUCCAAGUCUUUGCUACUGUGAAUAGAGCCGCGAUAAACA
Molecule: long non-coding RNA, 1347 nt
Organism: Pan troglodytes (chimpanzee)
Lineage: Eukaryota; Metazoa; Chordata; Mammalia; Primates; Hominidae
Exons: 2
Source: RefSeq, a predicted model, not a curated record